RNAcentral lists this ribosomal RNA (2892 nucleotides) under Escherichia coli. Its description in RNAcentral is "bacterial LSU rRNA". It matches the Rfam family "Bacterial large subunit ribosomal RNA". The record is from RNAcentral. Lineage: Bacteria; Pseudomonadati; Pseudomonadota; Gammaproteobacteria; Enterobacterales; Enterobacteriaceae.
ACUAAGCGUACACGGUGGAUGCCCUGGCAGUCAGAGGCGAUGAAGGACGUGCUAAUCUGCGAUAAGCGUCGGUAAGGUGAUAUGAACCGUUAUAACCGGCGAUUUCCGAAUGGGGAAACCCAGUGUGUUUCGACACACUAUCAUUAACUGAAUCCAUAGGUUAAUGAGGCGAACCGGGGGAACUGAAACAUCUAAGUACCCCGAGGAAAAGAAAUCAACCGAGAUUCCCCCAGUAGCGGCGAGCGAACGGGGAGGAGCCCAGAGCCUGAAUCAGUAUGUGUGUUAGUGGAAGCGUCUGGAAAGACGCGCGAUACAGGGUGACAGCCCCGUACACAAAAAUGCACAUGCUGUGAGCUCGAUGAGUAGGGCGGGACACGUGGUAUCCUGUCUGAAUAUGGGGGGACCAUCCUCCAAGGCUAAAUACUCCUGACUGACCGAUAGUGAACCAGUACCGUGAGGGAAAGGCGAAAAGAACCCCGGCGAGGGGAGUGAAAAAGAACCUGAAACCGUGUACGUACAAGCAGUGGGAGCCUCUUUAUGGGGUGACUGCGUACCUUUUGUAUAAUGGGUCAGCGACUUAUAUUCUGUAGCAAGGUUAACCGAAUAGGGGAGCCGAAGGGAAACCGAGUCUUAACUGGGCGUUAAGUUGCAGGGUAUAGACCCGAAACCCGGUGAUCUAGCCAUGGGCAGGUUGAAGGUUGGGUAACACUAACUGGAGGACCGAACCGACUAAUGUUGAAAAAUUAGCGGAUGACUUGUGGCUGGGGGUGAAAGGCCAAUCAAACCGGGAGAUAGCUGGUUCUCCCCGAAAGCUAUUUAGGUAGCGCCUCGUGAACUCAUCUCCGGGGGUAGAGCACUGUUUCGGCAAGGGGGUCAUCCCGACUUACCAACCCGAUGCAAACUGCGAAUACCGGAGAAUGUUAUCACGGGAGACACACGGCGGGUGCUAACGUCCGUCGUGAAGAGGGAAACAACCCAGACCGCCAGCUAAGGUCCCAAAGUCAUGGUUAAGUGGGAAACGAUGUGGGAAGGCCCAGACAGCCAGGAUGUUGGCUUAGAAGCAGCCAUCAUUUAAAGAAAGCGUAAUAGCUCACUGGUCGAGUCGGCCUGCGCGGAAGAUGUAACGGGGCUAAACCAUGCACCGAAGCUGCGGCAGCGACGCUUAUGCGUUGUUGGGUAGGGGAGCGUUCUGUAAGCCUGUGAAGGUGUGCUGUGAGGCAUGCUGGAGGUAUCAGAAGUGCGAAUGCUGACAUAAGUAACGAUAAAGCGGGUGAAAAGCCCGCUCGCCGGAAGACCAAGGGUUCCUGUCCAACGUUAAUCGGGGCAGGGUGAGUCGACCCCUAAGGCGAGGCCGAAAGGCGUAGUCGAUGGGAAACAGGUUAAUAUUCCUGUACUUGGUGUUACUGCGAAGGGGGGACGGAGAAGGCUAUGUUGGCCGGGCGACGGUUGUCCCGGUUUAAGCGUGUAGGCUGGUUUUCCAGGCAAAUCCGGAAAAUCAAGGCUGAGGCGUGAUGACGAGGCACUACGGUGCUGAAGCAACAAAUGCCCUGCUUCCAGGAAAAGCCUCUAAGCAUCAGGUAACAUCAAAUCGUACCCCAAACCGACACAGGUGGUCAGGUAGAGAAUACCAAGGCGCUUGAGAGAACUCGGGUGAAGGAACUAGGCAAAAUGGUGCCGUAACUUCGGGAGAAGGCACGCUGAUAUGUAGGUGAAGUCCCUCGCGGAUGGAGCUGAAAUCAGUCGAAGAUACCAGCUGGCUGCAACUGUUUAUUAAAAACACAGCACUGUGCAAACACGAAAGUGGACGUAUACGGUGUGACGCCUGCCCGGUGCCGGAAGGUUAAUUGAUGGGGUCAGCGCAAGCGAAGCUCUUGAUCGAAGCCCCGGUAAACGGCGGCCGUAACUAUAACGGUCCUAAGGUAGCGAAAUUCCUUGUCGGGUAAGUUCCGACCUGCACGAAUGGCGUAAUGAUGGCCAGGCUGUCUCCACCCGAGACUCAGUGAAAUUGAACUCGCUGUGAAGAUGCAGUGUACCCGCGGCAAGACGGAAAGACCCCGUGAACCUUUACUAUAGCUUGACACUGAACAUUGAGCCUUGAUGUGUAGGAUAGGUGGGAGGCUUGGAAGUGUGGACGCCAGUCUGCAUGGAGCCGACCUUGAAAUACCACCCUUUAAUGUUUGAUGUUCUAACGUUGACCCGUAAUCCGGGUUGCGGACAGUGUCUGGUGGGUAGUUUGACUGGGGCGGUCUCCUCCUAAAGAGUAACGGAGGAGCACGAAGGUUGGCUAAUCCUGGUCGGACAUCAGGAGGUUAGUGCAAUGGCAUAAGCCAGCUUGACUGCGAGCGUGACGGCGCGAGCAGGUGCGAAAGCAGGUCAUAGUGAUCCGGUGGUUCUGAAUGGAAGGGCCAUCGCUCAACGGAUAAAAGGUACUCCGGGGAUAACAGGCUGAUACCGCCCAAGAGUUCAUAUCGACGGCGGUGUUUGGCACCUCGAUGUCGGCUCAUCACAUCCUGGGGCUGAAGUAGGUCCCAAGGGUAUGGCUGUUCGCCAUUUAAAGUGGUACGCGAGCUGGGUUUAGAACGUCGUGAGACAGUUCGGUCCCUAUCUGCCGUGGGCGCUGGAGAACUGAGGGGGGCUGCUCCUAGUACGAGAGGACCGGAGUGGACGCAUCACUGGUGUUCGGGUUGUCAUGCCAAUGGCACUGCCCGGUAGCUAAAUGCGGAAGAGAUAAGUGCUGAAAGCAUCUAAGCACGAAACUUGCCCCGAGAUGAGUUCUCCCUGACUCCUUGAGAGUCCUGAAGGAACGUUGAAGACGACGACGUUGAUAGGCCGGGUGUGUAAGCGCAGCGAUGCGUUGAGCUAACCGGUACUAAUGAACCGUGAGGCUUAACC